Long non-coding RNA from Ochotona princeps (American pika), 863 nucleotides. RefSeq lists it as uncharacterized. The record is from RefSeq and is a predicted model, not a curated record. NCBI's taxonomy places the organism in Eukaryota, Metazoa, Chordata, Mammalia, Lagomorpha, Ochotonidae. The transcript is spliced from 2 exons.
CCUGGGCAUGCCACAGAGCCAGACGUGAGCGUCCUUCAAACACCUCGAUCCUGGAAAUAGCAGUAGGGUGCUGCUGGAACCAAGACUUAAAUGUGCGGAUGUGGCUUUGGAACUGGGAGAAUCAUAAAGCUUGUUAUGUGUGAGGCAGUCCUCUGAUGAUUCCUAAUUGGGCUAUUUUUUCCCCUGUUGAAUUUCAAUUGAGAAAGAAAAAAGCGAUUGCAGCAUUUUUUCAAGGCAAAACAAGCCAUAGAACAACCACAGACCGCAAACAACAAAACAAUCUUUCAUGAGGCUAAUUAGUCCUGAGCCUUAAAAAUAAUAAUAAUAAUUACCAAUUUUGGAGCCAUCCUCGAAGGCUUUUUGAACCACAUCGUAAAUCAGGACACUUCUGCCUUCCGAAGCAGGCACUGGGAGAAAAACAAGGCACUCUCAAGUUGUUGCUUUCCGUGACUCUGAUUUGGCUGAAUUCUCUUCUGAUAAAGAAAAUUUCAGGACAUUGAUGGACAAGGAAAGCGCGUUUCUUGCACACCCGGAUUCUUUGAACGGACUUCGUGAUCCACAGCUGGGCUCGUAAUCAGAAGGGGUUCUUUCUGUUUUAAAACCCAGAAGGGGAGCUGACAUCUUUUAUCAAAAAGACAGACAAUUCGUAUCCCCUGACAAUUCUAGAUUAUGGAUCCCGGGAGACUCUCCUUACACUGGUAUUUUAUCACUGGAAUCAGAGCGGCUGCUGUUUAUUUUCUGAACCUCCGCGUAGUUUUCAAGGUGUUGCCAGCAGGGCCUGGGCUGACAGUGACACGUGUUAUUGUCACAUUGCUAGAUCUGAAAGAAAACACCAGAUAAAUAAAUAUCAGUGUUUUCUUGGA